UAUAUAUAUAUAUAUAUAAAAAUAAAUAAAGAGGGGUUCUAUGUACAUUUGACAAUGUUCAUCUUUCACACUAUACCUUUUUCUAAGAUACUCUAGGCUAGGGCCAGCCCAGUGUUAGACUAAAUAAUUAAAAUUAAGUGAUGUGAAAUGGAUUGUUUAGAGAUUGAAAAGUUUGAAGCUUUAAUAAAGAGAUAAAAAAAAUAAUAAUAAAAGAAUUAAAGAUUUCAUUUAAAGCUACAGUGAAACAGUAUCCAAUCAGUUAAAAUGAUGGUAUGUUAUAAUUUUUUUUUUUUUAUAUGGCCAAUGACGAGCUUGUGGACUUUCACUGCAUUAUAUGCAAACAAAUGAUAUGGAAAUAUUAUUUCGUUUAAUGUAUGUACAUGACCUGAGAUAAUGAUGUAUAUAUUAAAUUUUAACACAUACAUGCCUGCUUAAGACUGUAUUAUUUUCCUCGAGUAGGUAGAAUUCUAACUAUAGACAGCACAGCACAAUACUUACUUAAUGUUUGUUUGGCCCCUGGAUUUUUAAAGCAAGACAUUUCUCCACAGCAUUUUGGUCAAUUUAGUGAUCCUUCUUCUUGUUGUUGUUCUCUGACUGUGUUGAAUGUAGAUUUCUACAAUUUAGCUUUCUUUUUUUCCUUAUAAAGCCAAAAAUAUGAACCGCACUGCUGCCUGUUAAUGCGAAAUGUUAUGAACCCACUAAUAUACCCUGACCUGUCUGAAGAAGGAAAGAUAUACAAGCAUUGCACACAUAUAUGAAACACAAACUUUCAUUAAAAGGUGGUGCCAGGUCAUGAUGAAACAUGAGAAUUACAGUUGAAGAAUAGCUCUUGUUUUGAGUCAUCAGCUUUGGGCAAUUAUAUUUGUGUAGAUAUGCGUCAUUCCAAUGACUCCAUACAAAUAUUUUCUUUAGGGGAUCAAACAUAUUAUAUUGUGCCCCCAAUUCUGCUUUACUAUUCUACUGGUAGGUGAUUAUUUGACAUAAUAAUGGCAACUUUAAUUUAAAAUCCUAAACAUUGAUGCAUUCAGCUACUGGAAGAUUAAAGUAGUGAUGGAUUAAGCUGUAUUAUAUUACUCAACUCAUUUUAAUUUAAAAAGAAAAAAAAAAAAAAAAAA
Ictalurus punctatus (channel catfish) is the source of this 1115-nucleotide long non-coding RNA. Lineage: Eukaryota; Metazoa; Chordata; Actinopteri; Siluriformes; Ictaluridae. The record is from Ensembl.